Molecule: ribosomal RNA, 215 nt
Filed under: Clostridioides difficile
Lineage: Bacteria; Bacillati; Bacillota; Clostridia; Peptostreptococcales; Peptostreptococcaceae
Description: partial 16S ribosomal RNA
Rfam family: Bacterial small subunit ribosomal RNA
Source: RNAcentral
UCUCCUUAAUCGGAGAGUUCCCUUCGGGGACAUUGGUGACAGGUGGUGCAUGGUUGUCGUCAGCUCGUGUCGUGAGAUGUUGGGUUAAGUCCCGCAACGCGCGCAACCCUUGUCUUUAGUUGCCAUCAUUAAGUUGGGCACUCUAGAGAGACUGCCAGGGAUAACCUGGAGGAAGGUGGGGAUGACGUCAAAUCAUCAUGCCCCUUAUGCUUAGG